Molecule: transfer RNA, 78 nt
Filed under: Bacteroidetes bacterium CG2_30_32_10
Lineage: Bacteria; Pseudomonadati; Bacteroidota
Description: tRNA-Val
Rfam family: tRNA
About the family: Transfer RNA (tRNA) molecules are approximately 80 nucleotides in length. Their secondary structure includes four short double-helical elements and three loops (D, anti-codon, and T loops). Further hydrogen bonds mediate the characteristic L-shaped molecular structure. tRNAs have two regions of fundamental functional importance: the anti-codon, which is responsible for specific mRNA codon recognition, and the 3' end, to which the tRNAs corresponding amino acid is attached (by aminoacyl-tRNA synthetases). tRNAs cope with the degeneracy of the genetic code in two manners: having more than one tRNA (with a specific anti-codon) for a particular amino acid; and 'wobble' base-pairing, i.e. permitting non-standard base-pairing at the 3rd anti-codon position.
Source: RNAcentral
GGGAGUUUAGCUCAGCUGGUUUAGAGCACCUGCCCUACAAGCAGGGGGUCACUGGUUCGAAUCCAGUAACUCCCACCA